AUUCUUUUGCAGUACAACCUAUUCAAAUAUAUGCUCCCAAACAUUUCCAUAUACCGUACAUGAAACAAAUAAUCCCAUUACAUCAAAACUUGCAAAUCACAUUUGCAAUUAAUAUUAAAAAAUCUUGUAUAUUUAAAAAUUUCGGCCAAAAAACAAAGGCAUUUGUCUCCACAAACCACAAUCCAACUUUCUUUAUAACAAACCCCAAUAAAAUGUAUGAUUAUUUAAAAAAUACUGACUACUAAUAGCAGCUCAUUGGCUAGUGAAGACACUCAUGACCUUCGCCUCAUGCCCUCGCGAAAUAGUGGUAUGUUGACGUAUAGGUAGGCAAAUGAGCCGACGAGCCAAUAUUUAAGCGGCAACCUGCAUUAAUCAUAUAGUUAAUUACAUAAUAAAUUCAGGCAUUGCCGAAUCAAGAAUAUAUCCAAUCAGUUCAUGUCCAAAAUGAAUCCCAAAAGACUUACCUUCCCAAUCAUCAGCACCCAUAAGACAUUCUGAAACUAAUUAAAGACAUCCUUGUCGUGAUCAUAUGGCUUGUUGUAACGCCCCGGGAUUUCGUCCUCGUUCAUCCUGAUGCGUCGAGCACCAUACCGCUCGCUAAGGUCAAUAUUCU
This 613-nucleotide long non-coding RNA is filed under the name Aquilegia coerulea. RNAcentral's name for it is "long non-coding RNA (ACOE_LNC002022)". Lineage: Eukaryota; Viridiplantae; Streptophyta; Magnoliopsida; Ranunculales; Ranunculaceae. The record is from RNAcentral.